RNAcentral lists this unclassified non-coding RNA (2385 nucleotides) under Gigantopelta aegis. RNAcentral describes it as "uncharacterized LOC121382130, transcript variant X2". The record is from RNAcentral. Lineage: Eukaryota; Metazoa; Mollusca; Gastropoda; Neomphalida; Peltospiridae.
CGUUCAAUACCAACUUACGGUUAUACACCAUCAAACACUAUUAAACAGUUUUAAUACAUAUAGAAAAAGCCGAGAAUAUGGCUAGCAACAUAAUUGAUGUUUACGUGAAGCUGCCAACAGGCAGAACAUGUCAGUUUGAUCUCUCGGGGUCCGACAACAUUGCCAGGGUUUGCGACGUCAUCGCAUCACAGGAAGCGGUUGACAGCGGUGCGGUGCGACUACGUUACCAGGGGAAGUACCUUGAUCGCAAUUCCACGCUGAGUUACCUGGGAGUUCGACCAGAAACCAUCCUCAGAGCUGAAAUUUUGAUUCCCAAGGACCAGGAUGUUUUGGUUCAGCUUCCUAACGGAGAGGAAACCCGAUACACUGUGAAGAAUACCGACAAGAUACUGACCUUGAGACUCAGACUGGCCAAGGAUCACGACAAAUUACUGAACAAAACAAAGCUUAUGCUGAAAGGAACGCCUAUCCGUGGAACAACAUUCGUGGAGGCGGGGAUAAGCGAGGGCACGGUGUUAUACUUGAGUUGGAACGAGGAAGAUGACAGUUCGGACGAGAUAAAGUCUAAAAACAAGACCAGUUCAAAAGAAGAAAUGAAAGAAGAAGAUCUCGAGGCCAUCCUGACGAGUUUUGACACUGGAGGGAAAAACGUCGAAGUUGUGUUUUCCUUUGACACCACUGGCAGCAUGUAUCAGUACCUGAAAACGGUAAGAUCGAAGCUUCAACAAUGCUGCACCCGCCUUAUUCAGGACAUUCCCAACAUCCGAAUUGGUUUGAUAGCGCAUGGAGAUUACUGUGAUCAAAACUCGUCCUACGUCAUCAAAACCUUGGAUAUGACGUCAGACGUUCAGAGCCUUGUCAGCUUCGCGAAUACGGUUCCACAGACAUGCGGAGGGGAUUCCCCAGAGUGCUACGAAUGGACUCUGCGGAAAGCGCAACAUAUGGACUGGUCUGAAGAUUCGGCUAAGGCCCUGAUUGUGAUAGGGGACUGCGAACCCCACCCUCCGUCGUACACGGACCAGGCCCUCAACUGGCACUGCGAGCUCGACGUACUGAUCGGGAUGGGUGUAAAGGUGUACGGCGUGAAGGCAGGUAAUAAUGAAAUGCCGAAGGCGUUCUAUGAAGAACUGGCGGACAGAUCUGGAGGCUGUUACUUACCUCUGCAACACUUUGACGUCAUCGUAGACAUGUUUAUGGCGGUUUGCUACCGGGAAUCGAAUCAGGAUCAGUUCGAAGCGUUCGUGCAGGAGGUGGAAGACGGGGGUCAGAUGACUGAAGCGAAAGAAAGAAAUGUUUAAGAAACUGGAGGAGACGCCAAAAGAGCCCAAACGUAUAACACAGCGCUACGUCCGUGAGCCGUGGUGGGACCGGGGUUUGGAUGUUACUGUUAGCCGGGACGAUCAAUAUACAUACGACAAGGACACCGACAGGUGGUCGUUAGUCCCAUGCCUACCUGUAUCAAUUACUUCGCCUUUAGUCGACUCUAGAGACAUCGAUGCGAGAAGUUUCUUCAACUCAAAAAACAAGAAAAAGAAACCAUGCUGCUGUAUUAUGUAACUUUCACCAAGUGAUGUCACUUUGUGAACUUUAAUAUGCUGACACGCCGUUUUCUGUGCGACUAGAAUGACGUGACUAGAAUGAAGUGACAAGAAUGAAGUUAUAAUGAAGUUACAAGAAUGAAGUUAGAAUGAAGUGACUAGAAUGAACUUAGAAUGAAGUGACUAGAAUGAACUUAGAAUGAAGUGACUAGAAUGAAGUGACAUAAAUGAAUCUCCUCAUUGUGGAGUGUCCAAACUUUGACUUCAGAACACUGAGCUCACGAGUUCGUAUCCAACACGUAGCUUGUCGUUCAUGCGAUGAUAAACACUAAAACUGUUUUACACACUUUAUGAAUGGCGUAUAUAUUAUUUUAUUUUAUUAUUACUUUGUUUUCUCACUGGAAAUAUUGAAUGUUUAAAUUUGCUCACAUUGCGUAGAAUAUGUUUAUUUUACGCCAUGUUCCAUGGAUAUGGUCGGAGUGAAAUAAAGAAUCAUUAUGAAUGAAAUAAAGAAUCAUUAUGAAUGAAAAGAUAUUGCUGACUCAUGGUUCCAAUACUAAUUCUAAUACUGAUUGCGUUAUGGGUGGUCCUUAAAGGUGUAGACACUCAUUUUAACCCGUAAAAUAUUGACAUUAAGUUUACUUAAUUUACAAACUUGUAACUCAUUUAAAGUUACAAUAGAGUUAAAAAAGGAGUUUGUGACGAUAUUCCGGAAAAUAUCCUAAAAAUAGACUUGAACUCAAAUCAAUAAUCUUCUUCUUAGAAGCACGUGCGUUUUUUUAAAAUAUGAAAAAUGUUGAGGGUGUUUUGGUAUUAGAAACACCAGGAUGACCAGAAACACUUCGGU